GAAAUGCGAUAAGUAGUGUGAAGUGCAGAAUUCAGUGAAUCAUCGAAUCUUGGAACGCACAUUGCGCCCCUCGGUAUUCCGUGGGGCAUGCCUGUUCGAGCGUCAUCUACACCCUCAAGCUCUGCUUGGUGUUGGGCGUCUGUCCCGCCUCCUUCGCGCGCGGACUCGCCCCAAAUCCAUUGGCGGCGGCCCUUGCCUCCCUCUCGCGCAGCACAUUGCGCUUCUCGAGGCGCGGCGGACCGCGUCCAGCAAGCAACCGUCACACCGUCUUUGACCUCGGAUCAGGUAGGGAUACCCGCUGAACUUAAGC
RNAcentral lists this unclassified non-coding RNA (310 nucleotides) under plant metagenome. RNAcentral's name for it is "partial contains 5.8S ribosomal RNA, internal transcribed spacer 2, and large subunit ribosomal RNA". The stretch from base 1 to 105 matches the Rfam family "5.8S ribosomal RNA", at positions 50 to 154 of the family's 154-position model. The record is from RNAcentral.